CGGAGCUGAAAUCAGUCGAAGAUACCAGCUGGCUGCAACUGUUUAUUAAAAACACAGCACUGUGCAAACACGAAAGUGGACGUAUACGGUGUGACGCCUGCCCGGUGCCGGAAGGUUAAUUGAUGGGGUUAGCGGCAACGCGAAGCUCUUGAUCGAAGCCCCGGUAAACGGCGGCCGUAACUAUAACGGUCCUAAGGUAGCGAAAUUCCUUGUCGGGUAAGUUCCGACCUGCACGAAUGGCGUAAUGAUGGCCAGGCUGUCUCCACCCGAGACUCAGUGAAAUUGAACUCGCUGUGAAGAUGCAGUGUACCCGCGGCAAGACGGAAAGACCCCGUGAACCUUUACUAUAGCUUGACACUGAACACUGGUCCUUGAUGUGUAGGAUAGGUGGGAGGCUUUGAAGCGUGGACGCCAGUCUGCGUGGAGCCGUCCUUGAAAUACCACCCUUUAAUGGCUGGUGUUCUAACGUGGACCCGUAAUCCGGGUUGCGGACAGUGUCUGGUGGGUAGUUUGACUGGGGCGGUCUCCUCCCAAAGAGUAACGGAGGAGCACGAAGGUUAGCUAAUCCUGGUCGGACAUCAGGAGGUUAGUGCAAUGGCAUAAGCUAGCUUGACUGCGAGAGUGACGGCUCGAGCAGGUGCGAAAGCAGGUCAUAGUGAUCCGGUGGUUCUGAAUGGAAGGGCCAUCGCUCAACGGAUAAAAGGUACUCCGGGGAUAACAGGCUGAUACCGCCCAAGAGUUCAUAUCGACGGCGGUGUUUGGCACCUCGAUGUCGGCUCAUCACAUCCUGGGGCUGAAGUAGGUCCCAAGGGUAUGGCUGUUCGCCAUUUAAAGUGGUACGCGAGCUGGGUUUAGAACGUCGUGAGACAGUUCGGUCCCUAUCUGCCGUGGGCGCUGGAGAAUUGAGGGGGGCUGCUCCUAGUACGAGAGGACCGGAGUGGACGCAUCACUGGUGUUCGGGUUGUCAUGCCAAUGGCACUGCCCGGUAGCUAAAUGCGGAAGAGAUAAGUGCUGAAAGCAUCUAAGCACGAAACUUGCCCCGAGAUGAGUUCUCCCUGAGACUUUAAGUCUCCUGAAGGAACGUUGAAGACGACGACGUUGAUAGGCCGGGUGUGUAAGCGCAGCGAUGCGUUGAGCUAACCGGUACUAAUGAACCGUGAGGCUUAACCUU
This 1171-nucleotide ribosomal RNA is filed under the name Enterobacter bugandensis. Its description in RNAcentral is "partial 23S ribosomal RNA". It matches the Rfam family "Bacterial large subunit ribosomal RNA", at positions 1762 to 2925 of the family's 2925-position model. The record is from RNAcentral. Lineage: Bacteria; Pseudomonadati; Pseudomonadota; Gammaproteobacteria; Enterobacterales; Enterobacteriaceae.